UGGGGAAUAUUGGACAAUGGGCGCAAGCCUGAUCCAGCAAUGCCGCGUGUGUGAAGAAGGCCUUCGGGUUGUAAAGCACUUUUAUCAGGAACGAAAAGCGUGGGGUUAAUACCUUUACGUGCUGACGGUACCUGAGGAAUAAGCACCGGCUAACUUCGUGCCAGCAGCCGCGGUAAUACGAAGGGUGCAAGCGUUAAUCGGAAUUACUGGGCGUAAAGCGUGCGUAGAUGGUUUGUUAAGUCGGAUGUGAAAGCCCCGGGCUCAACCUGGGAACUGCAUCCGAUACUGGCAGACUAGAGUGUGGUAGAGGAUGGCGGAAUUCCCGGUGUAGCGGUGAAAUGCGUAGAGAUCGGGAGGAACAUCCGUGGCGAAGGCGGCCAUCUGGACCAACACUGACGUUGAGGCACGAAAGCGUGGGGAGCAAACAGGAUUAGAUACCCGAGUAGUCCCUGAGCGGGCUGGCAAGGCGCAU
RNAcentral lists this ribosomal RNA (472 nucleotides) under uncultured bacterium. RNAcentral describes it as "bacterial SSU rRNA". It matches the Rfam family "Bacterial small subunit ribosomal RNA", at positions 355 to 825 of the family's 1533-position model. The record is from RNAcentral.